Molecule: unclassified non-coding RNA, 268 nt
Filed under: uncultured fungus
Lineage: Eukaryota; Fungi
Description: partial contains 5.8S ribosomal RNA, internal transcribed spacer 2, and large subunit ribosomal RNA
Rfam family: 5.8S ribosomal RNA (bases 1-52)
Source: RNAcentral
AACGCACAUUGCGCCCGCUAGUAUUCUAGCGGGCAUGCCUGUCCGAGCGUCAUUCUCACCCCUCAAGCGCUGUUUUCGCUUGGCGUUGGGGCUCUUGCAGCGGGCGGCUUACCGCUCUGCAAGCCCUGAAAUUCAGCGGCGGACCCGUUAGCACACCGAGCGCAGUAAACUUUGCUUCUCGCUCCGGGCGCGCGGCGGGCUUCCAGCCGGCAACCAAACCCCUUCUGAAGUUGACCUCGGAUCAGGUAGGACUACCCGCUGAACUUAA